AUUGAACGCUGGCGGCAUGCCUUACACAUGCAAGUCGAACGGUAACAGGUCUUCGGAUGCUGACGAGUGGCGAACGGGUGAGUAAUACAUCGGAACGUGCCUAGUAGCGGGGGAUAACUACUCGAAAGAGUGGCUAAUACCGCAUGAGAUCUACGGAUGAAAGCAGGGGAUCGCAAGACCUUGUGCUACUAGAGCGGCCGAUGGGAGAUUAGGUAGUUGGUGGGAUCAAAGCUUACCAAGCCGAACAUCUGUAGCUGGUCUGAGAGGACGAUCAGCCACACUGGGGCUGAGAAACGGCCCAGACUCCUACGGGAGACAGCAGUGGGGAAGUUUGGAUAAUGCGCGCAAGCCUGAUCCAGCACUGCCUCGUGGAGGAUGAAGGCCUUCGGGUUGUAAACUGCUUUUGUACGGAACGAAAAGCCCCGGGUGAAUACCCUGGGGUCAUGACGGUACCGUAAGAAUAAGCACCGGCUAACUACGUGCCAGCAGCCGCGGUAA
Molecule: ribosomal RNA, 498 nt
Filed under: uncultured bacterium
Lineage: Bacteria
Description: partial 16S ribosomal RNA
Rfam family: Bacterial small subunit ribosomal RNA
Source: RNAcentral